This 2426-nucleotide ribosomal RNA is filed under the name bacterium. RNAcentral's name for it is "partial 23S ribosomal RNA". It matches the Rfam family "Bacterial large subunit ribosomal RNA", at positions 1984 to 2922 of the family's 2925-position model. The record is from RNAcentral.
CGAAGCGCACGAAAAGUGUAACGACUGGGGGACUGUCUCAACGAGGAGCCCGGUGAAAAUACAAUACCGGUGAAGAUGCCGGUUACCUGUAGUUAGACGAAAAGACCCCGGGAGCUUUACUGUAGCUUGAUAUUGGGUUUAACGUGUUGAUACGUAGCAUAGAUGGGAGGCGUUGAUGUUUGGGUUCCGGCCUAAAUGGAGCCGUCAGUGAAAUACCAUUUUUUAACAUUUUAAAUUCUAACCGAUCCGAGACCUAAAAAUGGAAAGCGGAUCGAGACAGUGUCUGGCGGGCAGUUUGUGUGGGGCACAUUCCUCCUAAAAAGUAAUGGAGGAGUCUAUUAAGGUUGGCUUAGUCCGGAUGGAAAUCGGACUGGACCCGUAAAGGGACAAGCCAGCUUGACUGCAAGACGGAUAUGUCGCGCAGGUGCGAAAGCAGAGCUUAGUGAACCGAUGGUUCUUACUAGAAUAAGGCCAGAGAUCAUCAGACAAAAGCUACCCCGGGGAUAACAGGCUAGUUCCGCCCAAGCGUCCACAGCGACGGCGGAGUUCGGCACCUCAACAUAUCGGGGCGCCAUGCCAGUAAUGGCAUUAGCCGCUCGUUUUGCUCGUUAGGAGCGAGUGCAAAGCGAGAAAAAUAAUGGCUUAUAACGGUGGACUCCAUAUGGUACAAUAACCAUAUGGACAAUACCGUGGGAAGUUUAACUCAAUUAUGUUAUUCCUGAAAUGAAAUACAAAAUUGAGUUAUAACCCCGUAGAGACUUGUUCCCGCUCAAAAACGGGACGGAUAAUUACGAAAUUCGUAAUUAUAACACGCCAUCUCCUCUGCAAGAGCAGAGGAUGAAGAUAUAGUCCGCACCAUUAGUAAUAAUGGAAAACAUGCGAUGUCGGCUCAACUUAUCCUGGGACUGGAGAAGGCCCCAAGGGUUCGGCUGUUCGCCGAUUAAAAAGUUACGUGAGCUGGGUUCAAACCGUCAAAAUGAACCUUUAACAUCGAAUAUACACACGGCGGCUUUCCCGAGUGAUCGGGAUUGCAAAAGUUGACUCAUAUCGGUGAAUUCCUAACAGUGUUGUUUCUCAACCUGUCAUAUGUUAGGAUAAUACCGAGGGAAGUCGAAUAUGUCAAAAAUAAUUUCAUCAACUCAAAGAGCAUAUCUUGCCGGAUUUCUUGAUGGAGACGGCAGUAUUUAUGUGAGGGUAAAACCGAAUCCGACUUAUAAGUAUGGAUUCCAAAUUGCCCCAUCUAUAAUAUUGUUUCAAUCCGCCAAAGAUAAAGUAAAUUUUUUGAAAGUAUGCGAUCCUAUCGGAUUAGGAUAUAUGCGUGAGCGAAAGGAUGGAAUUUUGGAAUAUACCAUCAAUAGAAAAGAUGCGAUUCUGAAAUUUCUUCGAUUAGUUCAACCUUAUGUGAUCAUGAAAUCAGAACAAGUAAAACUCAUGAUGCGUAUAUUCAGAUUGAAAGAACAAGUGCAAACCGAGCAAGAUUUCGGAGAAUUGAUGAAGGUGAUUGAUGGAUUUCGGGAAUUAAAUUAUUCGAAGAAACGGAAAAGACAUGUUUUGACCCCGUAGAGACUUGGCCUUUAUGGCCGGAGUUAUCCUUAUUUAGGAUAGCUAACACGUCAACCUCCCCACCAUGAAUGAUGGGGAUGAUGGUAUAGUCCACCCAAUUAGUAAUAGUUGAAUAUAUGCGUGAGACAGGUUGGUCUCCUAUCUACUACAGGCGUCGAUACUUGAGAGGGCUCGUCCCUAGUAAAGUUUUGCUACUUCAGGAAGUAAUUCCUGAUGACAAUUUGGCUAAUAACGGUGGAAUCUUAUUAUUUCUGAAUCCGUUGAUAACUCUAGUUGCGUUGGUCCAAAAACUAGAGUACAGUUUACUUGAGGACCAGAAAAUAAUAAGACAAUACCGUGGGAAGUCGAUCUAAAAUUCAUUUAUUUCAACAUGUCUGAUUUAUCAAUCAUUCAAUUUGAAUUGUUGGUAAUUAUUAUUAUUCUUCUCUACUUCAAUAGCAGAGGAAUAAAAAUUGAUAAAUAGAUUAUUUUAUUUUAGAUUUGACCCCGUAACGACUGGAUUUCCCGUUUUUGAUGGGAAUGAAGAUAGUAUUGAACAUAUAUGUUUGGUGCUAUAAUAUGCCAAUACCCCAUUUUGGAGUAAUCUCCAAAAGGGUAAAGAUAUAGUCUACCCUCAUAGUGAUAUGAGAAUAUGUGACGAGAGGACCGGGACGAACGAACCUCUGGUCUACCAGCUGUUCCGCCAGGAGCAACGCUGGGUAGCUAUGUUCGGUUAAGAUAAACGCUGAAAGCAUCUAAGCGUGAAACUUGCCUCAAGAUGAGGUAUCAUAGAUUCCUAGAAGAUGACUAGGUUGAUAGGCUGUAGGUGUACGCACAGUAAUGUGUUUAGCCGAGCAGUACUAAUAAAUCGUUCCCCCGCCAUC